Molecule: long non-coding RNA, 203 nt
Organism: Aricia agestis (brown argus)
Lineage: Eukaryota; Metazoa; Arthropoda; Insecta; Lepidoptera; Lycaenidae
Exons: 3
Source: RefSeq, a predicted model, not a curated record
GUUAAGGUAUUAUAAAACCUAAUGUGGCGACUAAUUUUUCCGACGGGAUAUCAAACAUUCUUCACUGGCAACUAUUGGCUUUCAUUAUAAAAAUACACAUUUGGCAGCGAUUGUUAGGUAGCUUUAAAACUGAAAAUGGUAAUUUUUUUUAAGACCCGGAAUGGUAACAAUUUGUCGCCGCGUUAAAUACAUGCCUAUUUUAA